This 505-nucleotide ribosomal RNA is filed under the name uncultured bacterium. Its description in RNAcentral is "partial 16S ribosomal RNA". It matches the Rfam family "Bacterial small subunit ribosomal RNA", at positions 28 to 507 of the family's 1533-position model. The record is from RNAcentral.
GACGAACGCUGGCGGCGUGCCUAAUACAUGCAAGUAGAACGCACAGUUUAUACCGUAGCUUGCUACACCAUAGACUGUGAGUUGCGAACGGGUGAGUAACGCGUGGGUAACCUGCCUGGUAGCGGGGGAUAACUAUUGGAAACGAUAGCUAAUACCGCAUAAUAUUAAUUAUUGCAUGAUAAUUAAUUGAAAGGUGCAAUUGCACCACUACCAGAUGGACCUGCGUUGUAUUAGCUAGUAGGUGAGGUAACGGCUCACCUAGGCGACGAUACAUAGCCGACCUGAGAGGGUGAUCGGCCACACUGGGACUGAGACACGGCCCAGACUCCUACGGGAGGCAGCAGUAGGGAAUCUUCGGCAAUGGACGAAAGUCUGACCGAGCAACGCCGCGUGAGUGAAGAAGGUUUUCGGAUCGUAAAGCUCUGUUGUAAGAGAAGAACGGGUGUGAGAGUGGAAAGUUCACACUGUGACGGUAUCUUACCAGAAAGGGACGGCUAACUACGUG